AGAGCACCUAGUGCCGGGACAGCCGAUGGCACGGGCAAAAGCACGUGCAGCCCUGAAAUCAAGGAGCUGCAUCAGUUUCAAGAUCCAGAUGAACCCACUUCCUGCAGAGAAGGCUCCUGGGAAUGAGUCUGAGGGCGCCCAGGAGACGCAGACCCUGGUUUAAAGAAGGUACAUGAAGUCUAUUCCUGGAGAGAUGCUGCCAAGUGUCACCAUGUCCUGGAGACCUAGGAAGCCAUCGCAGGGUGUCACAGCGAGGCAGGACUAAGAGUCACCCACUUCCCAGAGGAGAAGGCUCGAGGCCAACAGUGAGUGAAUGGCAGAAUCAGACUAGAACUCAGUCGCCAAGCGCAGAAGCCACACUCACAACCCUCCCUCCGGCCAUGUGGCCUCAAGAAGCCUCAUUUUC
Molecule: long non-coding RNA, 406 nt
Organism: Hyaena hyaena (striped hyena)
Lineage: Eukaryota; Metazoa; Chordata; Mammalia; Carnivora; Hyaenidae
Exons: 4
Source: RefSeq, a predicted model, not a curated record